This 441-nucleotide ribosomal RNA is filed under the name uncultured bacterium. RNAcentral's name for it is "partial 16S ribosomal RNA". It matches the Rfam family "Bacterial small subunit ribosomal RNA", at positions 338 to 795 of the family's 1533-position model. The record is from RNAcentral.
CCUACGGGGGGCAGCAGUGGGGAAUAUUGCACAAUGGGGGAAACCCUGAUGCAGCAACGCCGCGUGGGUGAAGGAGCGUUUCGGCGCGUAAAGCCCUGUCAGCGGGGAAGAAGAAAGACGGUACCCGACCAAGAAGCCCCGGCUAACUACGUGCCAGCAGCCGCGGUAAUACGUAGGGGGCGAGCGUUAUCCGGAAUUACUGGGCGUAAAGGGAGCGUAGGCGGACUUUUAAGUGAGAUGUGAAAUACUCGGGCUCAACUUGAGUGCUGCAUUUCAAACUGGAAGUCUAGAGUGCAGGAGAGGAGAAUGGAAUUCCUAGUGUAGCGGUGAAAUGCGUAGAGAUUAGGAAGAACACCAGUGGCGAAGGCGAUUCUCUGGACUGUAACUGACGCUGAGGCUCGAAAGCGUGGGGAGCAAACAGGAUUAGAUACCCGAGUAGUC